Molecule: long non-coding RNA, 522 nt
Filed under: Pongo abelii (Sumatran orangutan)
Lineage: Eukaryota; Metazoa; Chordata; Mammalia; Primates; Hominidae
Description: lincRNA
Source: RNAcentral
UGUGACGUCACAGGGGCGGUGUAGUGCCUGGAGAUGGUCAGUCUUCUGACAGUGGAGCCUGGUAACCACCACCUCCUCUCCAGGUCCUGUGUAUUGCUGGCUGGAGAAGGGUAGUUGACAAACUCCCACCCAGCACAGUGUGUAUGUCUGUCAAAAAUAGGAAACUGUGUCCGGUGGCGGCCGAGACGGGAGGAUCCUUUCAGGCCAAGAGCAGCCUGUUAACCUGGCGCGACCCCAUCUCUUUAGUCUCACCUCAGCUUCCCAGCUACUUGAACCCCGGUUCAAGGCUCCAGUGAGCUAUGACCCCACCACAGCACUCCAGCCUGCGAGACUGAGGGCUUGAGGAUCAGCCAGCUUUAAUGAGGUACAUGCAGAUCUGAAUCAUACCAAGCUGAGAUUGGGGUACACGCUCUCCUCUACUGAAAAGUAGGGAGGGAUUCCAACGUGGUUAGAGGGAGAGUGGGGCAGAACCAGACCAGAUAAGGAGUGGUCACCUGGAAAAAGCCUGCCACCAAAGGCCUU